CGCGGCCGUUGCUCUCCGUCCGUCAGGUGAGGCGGGAUGCGGGUCUGGGAGGGUGUUCUCUUCGUCGUCCUCCUCUCCGCGCCCCGGGAGGAGUCGCCGCGGAGCUAAGGGUUCGGCCCGGUCUGUUUCUGCGCCGAGGACGGAGGCUGGGCAUUCUUCCGAGGAGGAGCUUCGCUUCUGCCCGCGGGUGAAGGAGGAAGCCUUCGUCCUCCCAGCUCCCGCCGCCACAGCCCAAGCCACUGAGGAGGCAGCUUUACUUCUGAGGAGACGCGCCUGCCAGGGUCGCCCGUGGUCAUUCGGCAACCCGACGCCGGCCGCUGUGGGGAAUGGCAGGACCUCGAGGGGGAAACGGCUGCCACUUCCCGUCUCCCAGCCUAAUGGAUCUGGUGCUGUGAAAAGUAAGCGCCUGCAGGAAGCUAGCUAUUGCUGUUAUUGUGUGUUAUAAAAAAGGCUCUAAUGCUGUUUUUGGCCUGUUUAAUAACCAUUUAAUCCACGGGCUCAUUUAUUAUUUUAUCUGUUUCGUAAGAUUUAUAUACCGCUAGAUUGUAAAAACGACCUCGAAGCGGUUUACGGGGGGGAGGGGGAAGGCAAAACAAUAAAAUCAAGAAGCAAUAAAUCCAGCCUUGUACCAAACCUGAGAUCACCUUUUUACAGCUGCAUAGGUGCAACACAUGCCAUUGGUUUGAGAAACAAUGUCUAGGUGGGCUUUAGAAGUGGCAGCUUUCAGGAUACUUUGGAGAUGGGGAAUUCAGUUUAGACUUUUUAAAACUUUGGCACAGGGACUUGAGCUCAAGACUUGUGUCUCAAUUCUGAGCAGGUCUCAAGGCUCAAAGCUAGAUACUGUACUGUGCAAAUAGCACUGAGAAACACGGGUGCCUGCUAAUUACUGUACGGUAUUAGACUCUGAGGACUAGUUUGACGCCCCCUAAUGGUGAAAACUAUCCUCACAGCACAGGACCCUUACUGUUACCGUUUUGUACUUGCUUUAAAGUUAUGGAUUUUUUAAUCUCGUAUUUAGGAUGCAAUCCUAAUCCUACCUGCCUACCUGGGGGUAAACUCCUACAGAACUCAGUCAUUUUCUUGAGUAGAAAUGCUUAAGAUUGCAGAAAGACAUUCCAAUUUUUGGUGACUUGUGUACUCCAGUUUUAUAUGAGACAUUUAGUAAUAAAUGGAUGCCAGCAAAAAUAUAUUUAUGCCAGGAGUCAAGUAUACUUAGAAUGGGUCAAAUUUCUUUUGAUAGAGGAUAUGUCACAAAACUCGUUUGUGUCUCGUGUCUGUAACAAACUGUUUUCUCAUGAUGAUUUAUAGCUGUAAUUGUGAACAGGGAUAUUUAUUAACAUCACACUGAUCUCAGUACUGUAUGUAAUAAAAUAUCUGCUGUAUUGAUUUGUAAAAUGAAGGCUUAUCAAUACCUGAGAGCAAAUAUUUAUCUUGUUGCAUACUAGAAGAUAAACUUCUACGAGGCCAUUGGAUAUCAACCCAUGUGACAUGUCUGAGCCAUGACUGAUUAUUUUUCUCUACCCAAUAAGGAAAUAAAAUGUUUUAAAUGUAUAAUGAGAAUGGUUUGAGUGCACAAUCAAUACAUUCAGUUGCAUGUGCUUUCAGGCUGGAGAAUGUGGAUUGAAGAGUUUUUUAUUUCAUUGUUUUCAACUAAAGAAUGCGUAAUUGUAUGCAGCACAAUAUUUACUUGUGAGUUUGUACUGAGCUAUUUUUCUUUUUUUUUUUGCGGGACACGGGUGGUGCUGUGGGUAAAACCUCAGCGCCUAGGACUCAGCGCAUGGCCGGCGGUUCGAAUCCCCGCGGCGGGGUGCGCUCACGUCGUUCGGUCCCAGCGCCUGCCAACCUAGCAGUUCGAAAGCACCCCCGGGUGCAAGUAGAUAAAUAGGGACCGCUUACCAGCGGGAAGGUAAACGGCGUUUCCGUGUGCUGCGCUGGCUCGCCAGAUGCAGCUUGUCACGCUGGCCACGUGACCCGGAAGUGUCUGCGGACAGCGCUGGCUCCCGGCCUAUAGAGAUGAGCGCAUAACCCUAGAGUCUGGCAAGACUGGCCCGUACGGGCAGGGGUACCUUUACCUUUACUUUUUAUUUUUCUGCUUUAGGCUGCAAUCCUAUAUUCAUUUACCCCCAGGUGAAGUCCUGCUGAACUCAAACUAGGUUUACUUCUGUGUAGAUUUGUAUAGGAUUGUAAUGUAAAUGGCAGAACUGUAACACUACAUGUCUUUUUUUUUUUAAAAGCAAUUUAUUAGGUUUUACAAUAGGAAUAAAUGUAAUAAACAAUAUAGCAUUCGUCUUAACAUAUUUUCACAUUUUCUUAGGACUUCCUCACAUCUCCCGCUCCCACCUUCAUCAUUAUAACAUUUUGUCAGCAAUUUAUCAUCUUAUUUAAAUUCUUAAAUCUCUUCGAUAUUUCAUAAUCUUAAAGUUCUCAUAAAGAGUUAAGCUUUCACAAUUUUUCUUGUUUCCUUAAAAAUUUCUAAGUUAAGUGGUGCUCAGUUAUUUAGUCCAGCAUCUUAUUCAGCAUUCAAUCAAAUCACAAUGUUUUUGUAGGUAGUUCUUAAAUUUCUUCCAAUCCUCCUCGAUUCUCUCUUCUCCCAGGUCACGGAUUCUGCCAGUCAUUUCAGCCAGUUGCAUAUAGUCUAUCAGUUGCAUCUGCCAUUCUUCCAGUGUGGGUAGAUCUUGGGUUUUCCAAUGUUUUGCAAGUAGUAUCCUUGCUGCUGUUGUUGCGUACAUAAAAAUGUCUGGUCCUUCUUUGCCACCCCUUGGCUGACAAUACCCAAAAGGAAAGCCUCUGGUUUCUUAGUGAAAGUAUAUUUAAAUACCUUUUUCAAUUCAUUGUAAAUCAUUUCCCAGAACGCCUUCACUUUAGGGCAUGUCCACCAGAGGUGAAAGAACGUUCCUUCACACUCUUUGCAUUUCCAGCACUUGUUAUCAGACAGGUGGUAAAUUUUUGCGAGUUUGACUGGGGUCAUAUACCAUCUAUAAAUCAUUUUCAUUACAUUUUCUUUCAAAGCAUUACAUGCAGUAAAUUUCAAUCCAUUACUCCACAGCCUUUCCCAGUCCUCAAACAUAAUAUUGUACCCAAUGUCCUGUGCCCACCUUAUCAUAGCCGAUUUAACCAUUUCAUCUUGUGUAUUCCAUUCCAACAGCAAGUUAUACAUCCUUGAAAGUAUCUUAGUCUUUGGUUCUAACAAUUCUGUUUCUAAUUUCGAUUUCUCCACCUGGAACCCUAGUUUCUUAUCACUUUUAAAAACUUCUUUAAUCUGAGCAUAGUGUAACCAAUCUCGCACUUUGUCUUUCAUUUUCUCCAAGCUCUGCAAUUUCCAAUUGUCUCCAUCUUUUCUAGUAUUUCCCAAUAUUUUGGCCAUUUGGCCUCCAUAUUGGGUCUUUUUCGAGCCUUAGCUUCCAAAGGUGAAAGCCACCUUGGUGUUUUAUUUUCCAGCAAGUCUUUAUAUUUUGUCCAGACAUUAAACAGUGAUUUUCUAACAAUAUGGUUCUUAAAGGCCUUAUUUGCUUUAACUUUGUCAUACCAUAAAUAUGCAUGCCAUCCAAAAACAUUGUUAAACCCCUCCAAAUCUAACACAUCAGUGUCUUCAAGAAGUAGCCAGUCUUUUAGCCAGCAGAACGCUGCGGCUUCAUAGUACAACUUUAAGUCCGGCAGGGCAAAGCCCCUCUUUGUUUUGCAUCGGUUAGUAUCUUAAACUUAAUUCUGGGCUUUUGCCCUGCCAGACAAACUUCGAAAUAUCUCUCUGCCACUUCUGAAAGCACCCCAUUUUGUCCAAUACCUGCAGUGUUUGAAAUAAAAACAACAUUCUUGGCAAUACAUUCAUCUUAAUCGCAGCAAUUCGGCCUAACAAAGAAAGUUUCAAUUUUGACCAACUGUCUAAGUCUCUCUUAAUUUCUGUCCAACAUUUUUCAUAAUUAUCCUUAAAUAGACUUAGAUUUUUGCUGUUAUGUUUACCCCUAGGUAUUUUACUUUUUUAACCACAUUAAGUUCCGUCUCAUUCUGAAACCGUUCUGACUCUGUCUCAGUCAGAUUUUUCCCCAAAACCUUAGUUUUCUGUUUGUUUAAUUUAAAUCCCGCCACCCGACCAAAGUCAUUAAUCAAUUGUAAUACUCUUUUCGUACUAGGCUCUGGCUUCUGCAAGGUCAAAACCAGGUCAUCUGCAAAAGCUUUUAAUUUAUAUUGUUUCUGACCAACCUGAAUUCCUUCCACCAGCUGGUCCCCUCUGAUCAUGUUCAAUAGCACCUCCAGGACCGAGAUAAAUAACAAGGGGAAAUAGGGCAACCUUGUCGUGUCCCUUUUUCAAUUUUGAACUCUUCUGUAACCACAUUAUUAACUAUCAGUUUUGCUUUCUGUUCUGAAUAUAUCGCCUCAAUCCCAUUCUCAAAACCCCGUCCCACUCCCAUCUCUUUUAAGUUUCCCAUCAUAAAUUUCCAAGAAAUGUUAUCAAAGGCCUUCUCCGCAUCUAUAAAAAUUAAAACAGCUUUUGUAUUUAUGUCAGUUUGGAGAAGUUCCAAAAUAUCAAUAAUGUUCCUUGUGUUAGCAAACAAAUGUCUACCUGGGAGAAAACCGGCCUGGUCCUUAUGAAUUACUUCAUUUAAAACUUUUUAAAAUCUACUUGCCAAAAUAUCUGCAAAUAUUUUGUAAUCCACAUUUAAAAGGGAGAUGGGACGGUAGUUCUUCAGUUGUGUCUUUUCAGUUUCUAACUUUGGUAUCAAUGUGAUAAACGCUUCCUUCCACGAAUCCGGUGCCCUCUUCCCCUCCAUAAUUUCAUUGCUAACCUCCAUCAAAGGUUGUAUCAAAUAGUCUUUUAGUGUCUUGUAAUACUUGGAGGUCAGCCCGUCUGGCCCUGGAGAUUUGCCAAGUUGCAUGUUCUGAAUAGCUUGUUCAAUCUCCUGUCGUGUUAUUUUAGAGUUCAGGAUUGUCCUAUUUUCUUGUGACAGUUUAGAUAAUCCAUUUUUUGCCAAAAAUUGUUUAAUCUCAACUUCGUCUUGCGGCCCUUGGGUAUAUAACUUUUUAAAAUAUCUCUGGAAACACUUUCUAAUGUCCACUGGAUUCUGAAUGUUUCUUCCAUCAACCUCUAAAUUUGUAACCGUGUUUAAUCUUUGUCUUCUCUUCAACUGCCAAGAUAGCAGUUUUCCACAUUUAUUCGCCGACUCAAACGUUUUUGUUUCAUUAAUUUGAUCUUCCAUUCAAUUUCCUGAUUUAUCAAUUUAGAAUACUGUGUUUGAUAAAGUUUAAUUUCUCUCAGAGUUGGCUGUGACUUUGGAUUCACUCUUAAUUUCUUCUCCAAGUCUUUUAUUUUAUCCAAAAUCUUGUCUUUUUUCUCAUUUUGUGUUUUUUUCUUUACUACAUUCUGUUGUAUCAGAAAACCCCUCAUGACAGCUUUGCUUGCGUCCCAGACGAUUCUUUUUUCCACCGAAUUGUUCAUAUUUAUCUCAAAAUAAUCUUUCAAAACUUUUUGGGCCUUCUUGGUAAUUUCCUGAUCUCUAAACAAAUUGUCAUUCAUCUUCCAUCUAAAGGAUCCAGUUGGUAGUAGUGUCAUGUCCAUCUUUACUGCGUUGUGGUCAGAACAGGUCUUUGGGCAGAUUUCCACUUUUCUAACCCUAGGUGCCAGGCCUCUAGAGAUCCAUAUUUGGUCGAUUCUUGUCCAGGUCAGUUGGGCUUCAGAAAAGAAUGUUCCUUCUCUACCUAGUGGGUUUUUGUUCUCCAAAUGUCGAUCAAGUCCAUAUUGUCAGUCAUUUCAAAAAGGUUUUAGGUAGUCUGCCAUCUUUUGUGAUGUUUUGACUUUGCGACUUGUCCAUGUUAGUUGACACGACCCGAUCAGGUCUCCCCUCAUUAUGAUGUUGUUGUAAUCCAGAUGAUCCAGCAUUGUCCCCUGCAACUUCUUGUAAAAUUCCGAUUUCCCUUCAUUAGGCGCAUAGAUUCCUAAUAUCAGCAAUUUCUCUCCUUGAUAUUGUAUCUCAAUAGCCAAAAUCCUUCCAUGUUCAUCUUUAAAUAGAAAUUUAGGUGACAGGCUCUCUUUGCAUAUAUCACCACUCCUCUCUUCUUCACUUUAUCCGACGAAAUAAAUUCCUGGCCCAAUCUUUUAUUUGUUAACACUUUUCUGUGGAGCCUCGUCACAUGUGUUUCUUGUAAACAAAUAAUGUCCAAUUGUUCUUUUUUUAAUAUAUGAAAAAUUUUCUUCCUUUUCUCCGGGAUAUUGCAACCAUUAAUAUUCCAGCUCAACAGUUGCAGAGACAUCCUGGAUCUAUCUGGUUAUUUCUCCUGGGGUGGUGUCUUCUCUUGAUCUUCAAGUUCCCGAGGUGGAGGUAUUGAUGCUGGCUUUGCCUCAGGCCCGGAAGGUAGUUCAAUUCCUUUAUGUAGGUCCUCUCCGUGUGUAGCCAAAAAUUUAUCUCUCUCUUCCAAUGUUCUAAUUUUAACCUUUCUCGCUCUAAAGGUAAAAGACAAUCCCUGGGGAAAAUCCCACCUGAAUGGAAUUGCGUUGCUCCUUAAUAGUUUAGCUAGUUCAGAAUAGGCGGCUCUAAGAUCCAACAGUUGUCUUGGGAUAUCUUUAUAUAUCUCAAUUCUUCUAUCCAAAACUUCCAGUGACUUUUCGUAAUGUAGGCCCAAAAUCUUAUCCCUUUCCUCCUUCGAUCUCAAUGUAAUCAAACAAUCCCUGGGCCUCUCCUUCUUUAUAAAUCUUCCAAGUCUGAAAGCUGACACAAUUUUAAAGUCCUUUUCUUCCAAAUUCCAGAACUUGGAAAGUUCUUUGGUCAAAAACUCAGUUAGAUUUCCUUCUUCUGCCUCUUGUAAUGAUCUAAUCCUCAGAUUAUUCUCACGAUUUCGCAGUUCUAUCUACAUGUCAACCUAUGCUUAAAACAUGCAAGGUUCUACAACUCUUCUUAAAAGACUUUACUGUACAUGUAAUUAACAUUGAGAAUUAAACUUGUCUUCAGGGAUACCGUAGUAAAACUCUUGAGCAAAGAACAGUUUUAUAUUAUUACAUUUUUAUGUUUCUUGUAGCUCAAAUGCAGGACAAGAGUUUAAUUCUAGCAGGAGGCAAUCUAACAUUUUAAAUUCCAAAUCUUGAAGUUGUCUUCCAUGUAUAUUUGAAUUACAAAGUUUCCUCUGGUGCUGGAACGAAUCCUGAACCACAUAUAACACAAUAAUUAUUAAGAUAAUUAUUAAGAUUAGGGUGUGCAUCAAAUAUUUGCUUUGAGUACUACUUUGGUAAGUGAAUUGAUGUAGCUCGGCAACUUUUGAGGAUACUUAUUUUGACUUGUGUCCAAAGCAGAACUUCCCCUAUGGAAAAAUCUGAAGUUUCAUAUGUCUUCCCAUUGACUUAUCCUCCCUCCCCCCCACCCCCGUAGAGGAUGUCAGUCACAUUUUAAAUAUACAGUGGUACCUCUGGUUACGUAUUUAAUUCGUUCUGGAGGUCUGUUCUUAACCUGAAACUAUUCUCAACCUGAAGCAACACUUUAGCUAAUGGGGCCUCCCGCUGCCGCCGCCACAUGAUUUCUUUUCUCAUCCUGAAGCAAAGUUCUUAACCCGAGGUACUGUUUCUGGGUUAGCGGAGUCUGUAACCUGAGGCAUAUGUAACCCGAGGUACCACUGUAUAGGCGGCUUUGUGUAUGCAAGGGAAUCCAUUCAAGUUUGGGUGGAAAGAAUUUGCUCACCACAUUCUGGAGUGGGGGGUAUUUAUGGAAAUAGUUUACAUUGUAGAGAUGCCUGUAAUUUAAAUAACCUGUAUCAGAUGGAUAGGUACAUAGGUUAGGGAAAUAAAUUUAAUGAAAAACUAUUUUCUGUCAAUUUGACAGCAAAGUGAGCUGUCUGUCAGUCAGAAAAACUAGACUCCUGCCUGACUUUCUUAUAUGAAGUGGCCAGGGGAGAAAUGUAUAGAUUUUCCAAGGCACAGUGUGUGUCUCCAACACAAUCAUAAAGCUUCAGGAAGAAUAAGAUCACUUCAGUAUGGUGUGCUUCUGAGAGCAUCUAGUCAGACAAGCCCCUUCUCUUUUCCUAGCAGCUCACUUAUGAGAUUUAUCAGAACCAGAUUUAUCAAACCUAAUUAAAAUAGCAGGUUUCAUCUUGAGCUUUCAUUACCUUACACUAGCAGUUCUCAGCAUGCAAUACUGUUGGGAGGGCGAUAAGGUGAUUGCUGGUAAUUAUUUUUACAUAUUUAAACAUUAAUGCAAUAAACAUUUUCUUAUUUCUAAGAUCACUACAAAGUAUGGAGUUUGGCCGGAGGAAAAAUUGCUUGUAGGUUAAUUCUAUCUAUGCAUGCCUGUUCAGAAAUAAGAUUCAUCUAUUGUGUUCAACAGAUAAAAGUGUCUAAGAGAACAAUCUUAGUUUUGCAGGCCAGAAUACAAAUUGAUUCAUUAUAUGCCAGCAACACUACCUAAUUUGGUUCUGGUGUUACUUUAAUCAACUCUUCUCUAGGAACCACCAGGAAAAGAAAAAUCAAGUAAGGAGGUUCUGAAAUCUACUUCAAUAUCCCUUUACAAACCGAAGUGGACAUGGGAAAGGUUUUUUCUAGGAAGGGGGUCCAAAUAUAAAUGCAACUUAAGAUUUCCAACCAUGAUUCAC
Molecule: long non-coding RNA, 8565 nt
Filed under: Podarcis lilfordi (Lilford's wall lizard)
Lineage: Eukaryota; Metazoa; Chordata; Lepidosauria; Squamata; Lacertidae
Source: RNAcentral